UGGGCUAUAGCCAAGCGGUAAGGCAGCGGUUUUUGGUACCGUUACGCGCUGGUUCGAAUCCAGCUAGCCCAG
This 72-nucleotide transfer RNA is filed under the name Pontibacillus chungwhensis. RNAcentral's name for it is "tRNA-Gln". It matches the Rfam family "tRNA". From Rfam's summary of the family: Transfer RNA (tRNA) molecules are approximately 80 nucleotides in length. Lineage: Bacteria; Bacillati; Bacillota; Bacilli; Caryophanales; Bacillaceae. The record is from RNAcentral. RNAcentral also lists the same sequence under 4 other names.